CAGAGCACUGGGAAGCUGACUUGCAGAUUUUCAGCUGUUAGCAUGUGGCAAGGCCUCAACUCCACUAUCCCUGAGGAACCAGCUUUAUGAAGACUGAAAGUGUGAUGGCUGUUGUUGCUAGGAGCUGCAGCUGAAUGCCCUGGGGGCCUGCAAGGUCAUGCAUGUCUGAGAGAGAGAAGCUACAAGUAAAGGGGAGCUGCUUUUCCAGACCCAAAAGGGCGGGAGAGAGGAGUGUGGUCCUGACCCACUGGCAGGUUCAGCAAAGUAAAAAAACAGCAUUGAAUGUUUCAAUCUCCUGACCUUCCUCAGCAGUUAUGGAAGCAAAGCAAUUGCCAUUAUUAAGCCUAACCACACACACACACACCCACCAGGAUUGGUAGCUCAGAAAUUCUAGAUGUCACAAGUUAACCCCAUUCUUCCUUCAUGAUUGCAUGUUGAGGCUCGGAUUCAGAAAAGCAUUUAAUCACAUGCCUAACUUUAAGCAGGUGCUUAAGUCCCCUUAAAGUCAACGGGAUUUAGGCACAUUUUUAAGCACUUUGCUGAACUGGAGCCUUUCGCUCUAGAAAACACAUCGUUUGUUUGAAGUCAAUUUAUAUUAAAGAUCACUCUUAAAUUAGGUUUUCAUUCAAGCGAUAAAUUCAAAUUAAUCUGACAACAAACAUUUUCUAAAGAAACUUGAAAAAAUUUGAAGAAGAAAACAGAGUAGGAGUAUCAAAUGCAUCCUUUGCCUUUUAGCGGGACAUUCUAGCCAGGGGGGAGAAGAGGGAUAGCUCAGUGGUUUGAGCAUUGGCCUGCUAAACCCAGGGUUGUGAGUUCAAUCCUUGAGGGGGCCACUUAGGAAUCUGGGGCAAAAUCAGUACUUGGUCCUGCUAGUGAAGGCAGGGGGCUGGACUCAAUGACCUUUCAAGGUCCCUUCCAGUUGUAGGAGAUAAAUGAAUGGAGAUAUCCUAUUUAAUUUAUUUCUGAACUGGUGUAUUAUGAUCCCCCCCAAAUAGUUCUUAAUUUCACUUAUACAAGCAACAUCCAGUGUUUCAACCUGCAGGCUGUUUCAUACGCCAACCAACCUUGGGAAGAAAAAGCCAUUCCUUGAAUCCAGCUUGAAAAAUUUACUUUCUGACUUGCAGCUAAUCUCCCCAUUAUUACCUGCCCAUUAUUGGGCCAGUUCCUGAGGUCCUUGCUCAAAUUUACCAUAGCCCUUACUCCAGCAAGCUCCCAUUGAAAUAAUUUGAGCAAUCAAUGGAACCUGGCCAGAGGAGGGAAAGAGUUAAACUUGAGUGAGGCCCUCAGGAUUUGGCCUAGCAAUUAAUAAUGGAUGGCUGGUCUCUUUACCUCUUGAGCCCAGCGGUCAUUUGAGAAAUCAGCUGCAAUUUCCUGAAGUCAGGAAUGAGUUAAAAGAAUGUGACGCAUGAUUGUUUAUGUUAAUUAUUUAACUUUUGUAUAUAGCCCCUUUAGGUGUGUAUGAUGCUUUAUGGAAAGAAUAAAUGCAUGGGGCCAAACUCUCCUCUAAGCA
This 1510-nucleotide long non-coding RNA is filed under the name Chrysemys picta bellii (western painted turtle). RNAcentral describes it as "lncRNA (ENSCPBG00000013252.1)". Lineage: Eukaryota; Metazoa; Chordata; Testudines; Emydidae. The record is from RNAcentral.